GACGAACGCUGGCGGCGUGCUUAACACAUGCAAGUCGAACGGAAAGGCCCUGCUUUUGUGGGGUGCUCGAGUGGCGAACAGGUGAGUAACACGUGAGUAACCUGCCCUUGACUUUGGGAUAACUUCAGGAAACUGGGGCUAAUACCGGAUAGGAGCUCCUGCUGCAUGGUGGGGGUUGGAAAGUUUCGGCGGUUGGGGAUGGACUCGCGGCUUAUCCGCUUGUUGGUGGGGUAGGGGCUUACCAAGGCUUUGACGGGUAGCCGGCCUGAGAGGGUGACCGGCCACAUUGGGACUGAGAUACGGCCCAGACUCCUACGGGAGGCAGCAGGGGGGAAUAUUGCACAAUGGGCGGAAGUCUGAUGCAGCAACGCCGCGUGCGGGAUGACGGGCUUCGGGUUGUAAACCGCUUUGGCCUGUGACGAAGCGUGAGUGACGGUAAUGGGUAAAGAAGCACCGGCUAACUACGUG
This 468-nucleotide ribosomal RNA is filed under the name uncultured bacterium. RNAcentral describes it as "partial 16S ribosomal RNA". It matches the Rfam family "Bacterial small subunit ribosomal RNA", at positions 28 to 507 of the family's 1533-position model. The record is from RNAcentral.